GCUGGGUGUGGUGGCGCACACCUGUAAUCCCAGCAAUUUGGGAAGUUGAGGCAGGAGGAUGGAAAGUUCAAGGCCAGUCUCAGCAAAUUAGUGAGGACCUAAGCAACUUAGUGAGCCCCUGUCUCAA
Molecule: small RNA, 127 nt
Filed under: Marmota monax (woodchuck)
Lineage: Eukaryota; Metazoa; Chordata; Mammalia; Rodentia; Sciuridae
Source: RNAcentral